This 65-nucleotide transfer RNA is filed under the name Perforatus perforatus. Its description in RNAcentral is "tRNA-Arg". The record is from RNAcentral. Lineage: Eukaryota; Metazoa; Arthropoda; Thecostraca; Balanomorpha; Balanidae.
GAAUAAGAAGCGAAUUAUUGCUAUCGGUUUCGACCCGGUCACUGGUCAACUUAGGCCCUUAUUCU